UUGUUGUGGAAAUUGUUGAUUUUUCAAUAGUGUUAAAAUGUACUUGCAAUAAAAUAAAGUCUAAUGGCCAAAAGUACGAUUCCUUAAUGUAGUUACAUAAUGCUCUAAAUAAUAUAUCAAUCUGCUAUAUAUUUUCAGAUUUUCAGGCUAAUGCAAAGUCUAGAAUUCACUGGAAAGGUCCUUCAAGCAAAAAACGCAUAAUUCUGAAGUUCACGGGGAUACCAUAUGUGAUAGUUGGGACUAAAAAUCUUCAGUGCCAUUUAGGUAAAGAUAGUGGCCUUUCAAAGAAAAGAAAAUAUGCAGAGCACAGAGAUCUGAAGCAGGGAGAAGACUUUAACUUUGCGAAAAGAAUACCAAAAAAAUGGGCAGCACUGCUACAAUAUUUAUAUCGCACAUAAUCAGCUAUCCGGAGUUUAAGAUUACACAGAACACACAAAAGCGAAAAGCAACAUUGUCUUUGAAACUUCGCAAUGCUAUACAA
Bufo bufo (common toad) is the source of this 481-nucleotide long non-coding RNA. RefSeq lists it as uncharacterized. Lineage: Eukaryota; Metazoa; Chordata; Amphibia; Anura; Bufonidae. The record is from RefSeq and is a predicted model, not a curated record. The transcript has 3 exons.